RNAcentral lists this unclassified non-coding RNA (302 nucleotides) under uncultured fungus. RNAcentral describes it as "sequence contains ITS1". The stretch from base 1 to 105 matches the Rfam family "5.8S ribosomal RNA", at positions 50 to 154 of the family's 154-position model. The record is from RNAcentral. Lineage: Eukaryota; Fungi.
GAAAUGCGAUAAGUAGUGUGAAUUGCAGAAUUCAGUGAAUUAUUGAAUCUUUGAACGCACAUUGCGCCCUUUGGUAUUCCUUAGGGCAUGCCUGUUCAAGCGUCAUUUAAACCUUCAAGCCCUGCUUGGUGUUGGGUGCCUGUCCCGCCCCUGCGCGUGGACUUACCUCAAAUCUAUUGGCGGCCCCUACGUCGGCUACGAGCGCAGCAGAAACGCGAACUCGUGGGCCCAACAGGGCGGCUCCCAGAAGCCACAUUCACCAUUUUGACCUUAGAUUAGGUAGGGAUACCCGCUGAACUUAA